UGACAUAGGGCGUUGAUUCUCAGGCUUU
Molecule: non-coding RNA, 28 nt
Filed under: Mus musculus (house mouse)
Lineage: Eukaryota; Metazoa; Chordata; Mammalia; Rodentia; Muridae
Source: RNAcentral